CUAUUAGGUUGGUGCAAAAGUAAUUGCGGAUUUUGUCAUUAAAAUGGCAAAACUACAAUUACUUUUGCACCAACCUA
MicroRNA precursor from Colobus angolensis palliatus, 77 nucleotides. Lineage: Eukaryota; Metazoa; Chordata; Mammalia; Primates; Cercopithecidae. The record is from Ensembl.